This 355-nucleotide unclassified non-coding RNA is filed under the name soil metagenome. RNAcentral's name for it is "partial contains 5.8S ribosomal RNA, internal transcribed spacer 2, and large subunit ribosomal RNA". The stretch from base 1 to 120 matches the Rfam family "5.8S ribosomal RNA", at positions 35 to 154 of the family's 154-position model. The record is from RNAcentral.
GAUGAAGAACGAAGCGAAAUGCGAUAAGUAAUGUGAAUUGCAGAAUUCAGUGAAUCAUCGAAUCUUUGAACGCACAUUGCGCCCGCCAGUAUUCUGGCGGGCAUGCCUGUCCGAGCGUCAUUUCAACCCUCGAACCCCUCCGGGGGGUCGGCGUUGGGGAUCGGCCCUGCCUCUUGGCGGUGGCCGUCUCCGAAAUACAGUGGCGGUCUCGCCGCAGCCUCUCCUGCGCAGUAGUUUGCACACUCGCAUCGGGAGCGCGGCGCGUCCACAGCCGUUAAACACCCAACUUCUGAAAUGUUGACCUCGGAUCAGGUAGGAAUACCCGCUGAACUUAAGCAUAUCAAUAAGCGGAGGA